GAUGAACGCUGGCGGUGUGCCUAAUACAUGCAAGUCGAGCGAACAGACGAGGAGCUUACUCCUCUGACGUUAGCGGCGGACGGGUGAGUAACACGUGGAUAACCUACCUAUAAGACUGGGAUAACUUCGGGAAACCGGAGCUAAUACCGGAUAACAUGUUGAACCGCAUGGUUCAACAGUGAAAGACGGUCUUGCUGUCACUUAUAGAUGGAUCCGCGUCGCAUUAGCUAGUUGGUAAGGUAACGGCUUACCAAGGCAACGAUGCGUAGCCGACCUGAGAGGGUGAUCCGCCACACGGGAACUGAGACACGGUCCCGACUCCUACGGGAGGCAGCAGUAGGGAAUCUUCCGCAAUGGGCGAAAGCCUGACGGAGCAACGCCGCGUGAGUGAAGAAGGUCUUCGGAUCGUAAAGCUCUGUUAUUAGGGAAGAACAAAUGUGUAAGUAACUAUGCACGUCUUGACGGUACCUAAUCAGAAAGCCACGGCUAACUACGUG
RNAcentral lists this ribosomal RNA (497 nucleotides) under uncultured bacterium. Its description in RNAcentral is "partial 16S ribosomal RNA". It matches the Rfam family "Bacterial small subunit ribosomal RNA", at positions 28 to 507 of the family's 1533-position model. The record is from RNAcentral.